UACGUAGGGUGCGAGCGUUGUCCGGAAUUAUUGGGCGUAAAGAGCUCGUAGGCGGUGUGUCACGUCGAUCGUGAAAACUUACAGCUUAACUGUGAGCGUGCGGUCGAUACGGGCAUCACUGGAGUUCGGCAGGGGAGACUGGAAUUCCUGGUGUAGCGGUGAAAUGCGCAGAUAUCAGGAGGAACACCGGUGGCGAAGGCGGUUCUCUGGGCAUGUCCUGACGCUGAGGAGCGAAAGUGUGGGGAGCGAACAGG
RNAcentral lists this ribosomal RNA (254 nucleotides) under uncultured bacterium. RNAcentral describes it as "partial 16S ribosomal RNA". It matches the Rfam family "Bacterial small subunit ribosomal RNA", at positions 524 to 776 of the family's 1533-position model. The record is from RNAcentral.